Molecule: ribosomal RNA, 468 nt
Filed under: uncultured bacterium
Lineage: Bacteria
Description: partial 16S ribosomal RNA
Rfam family: Bacterial small subunit ribosomal RNA
Source: RNAcentral
GACGAACGCUGGCGGCGUGCUUAACACAUGCAAGUCGAACGGAAAGGCCCUGCUUUUGUGGGGUGCUCGAGUGGCGAACGGGUGAGUAACACGUGAGUAACCUGCCCUUGACUUUGGGAUAACUUCAGGAAACUGGGGCUAAUACCGGAUAGGAGCUCCUGCUGCAUGGUGGGGGUUGGAAAGUUUCGGCGGUUGGGGAUGGACUCGCGGCUUAUCAGCUUGUUGGUGGGGUAGUGGCUUACCAAGGCUUUGCCGGGUAGCCGGCCUGAGAGGGUGACCGGCCACAUUGGGACUGAGAUACGGCCCAGACUCCUACGGGAGGCAGCAGUGGGGAAUAUUGCACAAUGGGCGGAAGCCUGAUGCAGCAACGCCGCGUGCGGGAUGACGGCCUUCGGGUUGUAAACCGCUUUCGCCUGUGACGAAGCGUGAGUGACGGUAAUGGGUAAAGAAGCACCGGCUAACUACGUG